RNAcentral lists this unclassified non-coding RNA (484 nucleotides) under Hevea brasiliensis (rubber tree). Lineage: Eukaryota; Viridiplantae; Streptophyta; Magnoliopsida; Malpighiales; Euphorbiaceae. The record is from RNAcentral.
CAUCAAGUGUUUCUCCAGGAGAGUCACGCUUCUCUAGCUUUGAUGGGAUCAAUUUGUUGGAGUCUCUGAUUCCUCCUGAGAAUGUUAGCCCUGAAGUCUCUCUCGGGGUUACAAAGUCACUUGGAAAGGGUAAAUAUUCAGUAAUUUGUUUAUAUGCGAAGCAGUUUCGUGAUCUGCGGAGUCGGUGCUGCCCAUCAGAGGUAGAUUAUAUUGCUUCUCUUAGUCGUUGUAGGAGCUGGGAUGCUAAAGGUGGAAAGAGCAAAUCCUUUUUUGCUAAAACACUUGAUGAGAGGUUCAUAAUAAAGGAAAUCAAGAAGACAGAAUUUGAGUCAUUUGUUAAGUUUGCUUCUCAUUAUUUCAAGUACCUGAAUGAGUCAUUUGAGUUGGGGAACCAAACUUGUCUAGCUAAAGUUCUUGGGAUUUAUCAGGUGAUCAUCAGACAGACAAAAAGUGGAAAAGAGAUGAGGCAUGAUCUGAUGGUUAU